UACGGGAGGCAGCAGGGGGAAUAUUGCACAAUGGGCGCAAGCCUGAUGCAGCCAUGCCGCGUGUAUGAAGAAGGCCUUCGGGUUGUAAAGUACUUUCAGUCGUGAGGAAGGUGUUAAGGUUAAUAACCUUAGCAAUUGACGUUAGCGACAGAAGAAGCACCGGCUAACUCCGUGCCAGCAGCCGCGGUAAUACGGAGGGUGCGAGCGUUAAUCGGAAUUACUGGGCGUAAAGGGCACGCAGGCGGUUAAUUAAGUUGGAUGUGAAAUCCCCGGGCUUAACCUGGGAAUGGCAUUCAAGCUGGUUAGCUAGAGUCUUGUAGAGGGGGUAGAAUUCCAUGUGUAGCGGUGAAAUGCGUAGAGAUGUGGAGGAAUACCGGUGGCGAAGGCGGCCCCUGGACAAAGGACUGACGCUCAUGUGCGAAAGCGUGGGGAGCAAACAGGGAUUAGAUAC
Molecule: ribosomal RNA, 451 nt
Filed under: uncultured bacterium
Lineage: Bacteria
Description: bacterial SSU rRNA
Rfam family: Bacterial small subunit ribosomal RNA
Source: RNAcentral